AGGACUAUAUUAUUAUACUUCUCUUCUUAAUGCAGCCAAGUGCCGGUGACAAGCCCGACAGAAUGCAGAGUCAAGAA
This 77-nucleotide non-coding RNA is filed under the name unclassified sequences. The record is from RNAcentral.